This 509-nucleotide ribosomal RNA is filed under the name Rhodococcus qingshengii. RNAcentral describes it as "bacterial SSU rRNA". It matches the Rfam family "Bacterial small subunit ribosomal RNA", at positions 96 to 619 of the family's 1533-position model. Lineage: Bacteria; Bacillati; Actinomycetota; Actinomycetes; Mycobacteriales; Nocardiaceae. The record is from RNAcentral.
CGGGGAACGGGUGAGUAACGCGUGGGUGAUCUGCCCUGCACUUCGGGAUAAGCCUGGGAAACUGGGUCUAAUACCGGAUAUGACCUCCUAUCGCAUGGUGGGUGGUGGAAAGAUUUAUCGGUGCAGGAUGGGCCCGCGGCCUAUCAGCUUGUUGGUGGGGUAAUGGCCUACCAAGGCGACGACGGGUAGCCGACCUGAGAGGGUGACCGGCCACACUGGGACUGAGACACGGCCCAGACUCCUACGGGAGGCAGCAGUGGGGAAUAUUGCACAAUGGGCGAAAGCCUGAUGCAGCGACGCCGCGUGAGGGAUGACGGCCUUCGGGUUGUAAACCUCUUUCAGCAGGGACGAAGCGCAAGUGACGGUACCUGCAAAAGAAGCACCGGCUAACUACGUGCCAGCAGCCGCGGUAAUACGUAGGGUGCAAGCGUUGUCCGGAAUUACUGGGCGUAAAGAGUUCGUAGGCGGUUUGUCGCGUCUUUUGUGAAAACCAGCAGCUCUACUGCUGG